This 688-nucleotide ribosomal RNA is filed under the name uncultured bacterium. RNAcentral describes it as "bacterial SSU rRNA". It matches the Rfam family "Bacterial small subunit ribosomal RNA", at positions 8 to 691 of the family's 1533-position model. The record is from RNAcentral.
AGAGUUUGAUCAUGGCUCAGAUUGAACGCUGGCGGCAUGCCUUACACAUGCAAGUCGAACGGCAGCACGGACUUCGGUCUGGUGGCGAGUGGCGAACGGGUGAGUAAUACAUCGGAACGUACCCUGUUGUGGGGGAUAACUAGUCGAAAGAUUAGCUAAUACCGCAUACGACCUGAGGGUGAAAGUGGGGGACCGUAAGGCCUCACGCAGCAGGAGCGGCCGAUGUCUGAUUAGCUAGUUGGUGGGGUAAAGGCCCACCAAGGCGACGAUCAGUAGCUGGUCUGAGAGGACGAUCAGCCACACUGGGACUGAGACACGGCCCAGACUCCUACGGGAGGCAGCAGUGGGGAAUUUUGGACAAUGGGGGCAACCCUGAUCCAGCAAUGCCGCGUGUGUGAAGAAGGCCUUCGGGUUGUAAAGCACUUUUGUCCGGAAAGAAAUCGCUUCGGUUAAUACCUGGGGUGGAUGACGGUACCGGAAGAAUAAGCACCGGCUAACUACGUGCCAGCAGCCGCGGUAAUACGUAGGGUGCGAGCGUUAAUCGGAAUUACUGGGCGUAAAGCGUGCGCAGGCGGUUUUGUAAGACAGGCGUGAAAUCCCCGAGCUCAACUUGGGAAUUGCGCUUGUGACUGCAAGGCUAGAGUAUGUCAGAGGGGGGUAGAAUUCCACGUGUAGCAGUGAAAUGCGU